This is a non-coding RNA of Acanthosepion pharaonis, 113 nucleotides long. NCBI's taxonomy places the organism in Eukaryota, Metazoa, Mollusca, Cephalopoda, Sepiida, Sepiidae. The record is from the annotation of a GenBank genome assembly.
UAUGGCCAUAUCACAUUGAAACACCAGUUCUUGCAAGAUCACUGAAGUUAAGCAAUGUUGAGUCUGGUUAGUAACUAUUUGGGUGAUCACUUGAGAAUGCCAGGUGCUGUAAG